UACAGAGGGUGCAAGCGUUGUUCGGAAUUAUCGGGCGUAAAGCGCGUGUAGGCGGCCUUGCAAGUCGGGUGUGAAAGCCCUCAGCUCAACUGAGGAAGCGCGCCCGAAACUGCAGAGCUUGAGUACCGGAGAGGAUGGCGGAAUUCCCCAAGUAGAGGUGAAAUUCGUAGAUAUGGGGAGGAACACCGGUGGCGAAGGCGGCCAUCUGGACGGAUACUGACGCUGAGACGCGAAAGCGUGGGGAGCGAACAGG
Molecule: ribosomal RNA, 253 nt
Filed under: uncultured bacterium
Lineage: Bacteria
Description: partial 16S ribosomal RNA
Rfam family: Bacterial small subunit ribosomal RNA
Source: RNAcentral